UGGGAGUUGAAUUUAGGCAAUGAUCUCGCCAACCCGGUCAGGUCUGAAAAGAAGCAGCCGUAACGAUUUUCAUUGGGUUGAACUUCAGCUCCUUUUU
This 97-nucleotide signal recognition particle RNA is filed under the name Alphaproteobacteria bacterium. RNAcentral describes it as "signal recognition particle sRNA small type". It matches the Rfam family "Bacterial small signal recognition particle RNA". From Rfam's summary of the family: The signal recognition particle (SRP) is a universally conserved ribonucleoprotein involved in the co-translational targeting of proteins to membranes. Archaeal SRP consists of a 7S RNA and homologues of the eukaryotic SRP19 and SRP54 proteins. RNAcentral also lists the same sequence under 2 other names. Lineage: Bacteria; Pseudomonadati; Pseudomonadota; Alphaproteobacteria. The record is from RNAcentral.